RNAcentral lists this ribosomal RNA (111 nucleotides) under Propithecus coquereli (Coquerel's sifaka). The record is from RNAcentral. Lineage: Eukaryota; Metazoa; Chordata; Mammalia; Primates; Indriidae.
GUCUACAGCCAUACCACCCUGAAUGUCCCUGAUCUUGUCUGAUCUUGGAAGCUGAGCGGGGUCGGGCCUGGUUAGUAUUGGAUGGGAGAAAAAGCAUUUAGCCGCCAGAUA